This 864-nucleotide ribosomal RNA is filed under the name uncultured euryarchaeote. RNAcentral's name for it is "bacterial SSU rRNA". It matches the Rfam family "Archaeal small subunit ribosomal RNA", at positions 1 to 879 of the family's 1478-position model. Lineage: Archaea; Methanobacteriati; Methanobacteriota. The record is from RNAcentral.
UUCCGGUUGAUCCUGCCGGGAGGCGGACCGCUUUUGGAGUUCGAUUAAGCCAUGCGAGUCGGAGAGCUUUCGGAGCUCGCCAUACUGCUCAGUAACACGUGGAUAACCUGCCCUAUUGUCUGGAAUACCCUCGGGACACUGAGAACAAUGCCGGGAUAGCCCACAAUGCCUGGAACGGUUUGUGGGUGAAGAUAGGAUGGGUCUGCGGCGUAUCAGGUCGUAGGGGGUGUAAUGGACCUCCUAGCCAUCGACGCGUACGGGUGUUGGGAGACAUAGCCCGGAGAUGGAUUCUGAGACACGAAUCCAGACCCUACGGGGUGCAGCAGGCGCGAAAACUUCACACUGCAGGAAACUGUGAUGAGGGAACUCCAAGUGCUAUCACUAUGUGGUAGCUUUUCUUAACUAUUAAUCGGUUUUGGAAUAAGGGCUGGGAAAGACCGGUGCCAGCCGCCGCGGUAAUACCGGCAGCUCAAGUGGUCGUCGCUUUUAUUGGGCCUAAGACGUCCGUAGCCUGUUUAGUAAAUUCGUGGGUAAAUCAACCAGCUUAACUGGUUGAAUUCUGCAAAGACUGCUAGACUAGGGACCGGGAGAGGUGUGAGGUACUCUAGGGGUAGAGGUAAAAUUCUGUCAUCCUUGGAGGACCACCAGUUGCGAAGGCGUCACACUAGAACGGAUCCGACGGUCAGGGACGAACCCUAGGGCCACGAACCGGAUUAGAUACCCGGGUAGUCCUAGGUGUAAACGCUGUGAACUUGGUGUCGGGAUUCCGCCAGGGGACCUCGGUGCCGAAGUGAAGAUGUUAAGUUCACUCCCUGGGAAAUACGGUCCCAAGGCUGAAACUUAAAGGAAUUGGCGGGGCAGCAC